Molecule: long non-coding RNA, 954 nt
Organism: Cannabis sativa
Lineage: Eukaryota; Viridiplantae; Streptophyta; Magnoliopsida; Rosales; Cannabaceae
Exons: 5
Source: RefSeq, a predicted model, not a curated record
UUUCUAUUCAAAGUUUUAUUUUGCAAAAAGACAUCUCCCUGCUCUCUCUCUCUCUCUCUCUCUCUCUCUCUCUCUCUCUCUCUCCGCCCUAACCCCAAACUCCAUGAAUGGCGAUCAAAGCUCGCCCCAAACCCUGCUGCUCGCCCCGAUCCCUCUUCUCUAAGUUUUGGUCAUCGACGCAACACACCACCCCAAUCCCAGCUCUCCUCCUGCUCUUGUUGUCUUCUCCGUUCGGGCCAAGCUCAGCCCCUAACAUUGUUGUUUCCGCUCAGGCCAAGCUCGCACAAAAUAACCCUAUAUAGUGAGGGUUUGUCAAUUUGGGCCCCAACCGAAUGCGAGUCGAGGGCUCGAAGCUGAAUUCUUAACAUAGUAAUUUGUCAUUGAUAUUCCUGGAAAUGAUGUGAGUCUGUAGUGAAUGUAAUGGAAAGGUCGUUCUUAUCGUCAAUGUUGCUUCAAAAUGUGGUUUAACACAGUCAAACUACAAGGAGCUGUAUGUUCUUUAUGAAAGUACAAAGUCUAAUGCCAAAUUGCCAAUGUUUAUUAUUUGUUUUAGUUUAAUGAAAAGUACAAAGACAAAGGCAAAGAGAAAGCAAUCUACAGGGGUAAUAUUAGGAGAUGAUGUUUUGAAUUUGGUGAUUGAGGCAAGUGUGGAUCACUCUCUUGUUAUGGCUCUUGUGACUGUAUAUGGUUUAAUGCAGAGAAAGAUGUAAAUAACGACUACUGCAAUACAAUUUUUCAUUAGAUUUUCUUUUUCUUUUUUCUUUUUUGGGGGUGGGAAUUUGAACAAUUUUGUCCCCAGAUUAUAUAUUGAUGUGUAUGUUCAAAAUCUAAAGGUAAAGGGAAUUUGUGUAAAUUGCCACAAUGUUUGACAGUUAAGUUAUUAUUAGAUUAUACUACUUUCAUGUAUGUGGCCAACAAAUUAAAUUUAAACAAGUUAGAAACCAUUAAUUUCCA